Molecule: ribosomal RNA, 450 nt
Filed under: uncultured bacterium
Lineage: Bacteria
Description: partial 16S ribosomal RNA
Rfam family: Bacterial small subunit ribosomal RNA
Source: RNAcentral
GCUAAGAAUCUUCCGCAAUGGGCGAAAGCCUGACGGAGCGACGCCGCGUGAACGAAGAAGGCCGUGAGGUUGUAAAGUUCUUUUCGGGAGGGGGAACAACCGUGGCAGGGAAUGGCCGCGGGAUGACGUGAAUCCCGGAAUAAGCCCCGGCUAACUACGUGCCAGCAGCCGCGGUAACACGUAGGGGGCGAGCGUUGUUCGGAAUCAUUGGGCGUAAAGGGCGUGCAGGCGGUCGUGCAAGUCCGGCGUGAAAGACCCCGGCCCAACCGGGGGGACGCGCUGGAAACUGCAGGGCUUGAGUACAGGAGGGGAUGCCGGAAUUCCAGGUGUAGGGGUGAAAUCUGUAGAUAUCUGGAAGAACACCAAUGGCGAAGGCAGGCAUCUGGCCAUGUACUGACGCUGAGACGCGAAGGUGCGGGGAGCAAACAGGUUUAGAAACCCCGGUAGUCC